UUUCCAUUGUAGCAAUUCUGCCGAAACAUGAAUGCAAACCUGGCAUCAGGAAACCAAUUCCCAUUUAUUGGUGCCAGGGCCAUCUGAUGAUUCCUGGGCUGUCAUGAAGGUGUGGCCCACCUGACGACAAAGCAAAUACUCUAAUAUAUCACAAUAAGAAUCUGGUUCUGAUUUGAUUUACUUCUUUUCUUUUACUGUAAUGCUGCAUAAGGAAUGAAGCGACACGUGACAUAAACUGGAGGAGCUCUUUUAACAGGAGCAAAUUGCAUGUGUACAUGAAAGAAUGCUUUUAGCAAAACUUUGUUUCCCAGAAUGAAUUGUUGUUUCUCAUCUUCUUCAUCAUUAAAAUCUUAAGCAUUGAAUCAAA
Neolamprologus brichardi is the source of this 367-nucleotide long non-coding RNA. RefSeq lists it as uncharacterized. The record is from RefSeq and is a predicted model, not a curated record. Lineage: Eukaryota; Metazoa; Chordata; Actinopteri; Cichliformes; Cichlidae.